Long non-coding RNA from Lutra lutra (Eurasian river otter), 177 nucleotides. RefSeq lists it as uncharacterized. The transcript is spliced from 3 exons. NCBI's taxonomy places the organism in Eukaryota, Metazoa, Chordata, Mammalia, Carnivora, Mustelidae. The record is from RefSeq and is a predicted model, not a curated record.
GCCGAAGGCAGAGGCUUUAACCCACUGAACCACCCAGGCACCCCCAAACCCUUGUCUUUAGCCCAUUCUUGGCUGACCGGGAGAGAAGCUUCUGAGUUUCUUUCCCUGCUGGGCCACCAUUUUCUUCUUCCUUGGUCUUCCCGGACAUCCCAGAUCAAACCAAGACCACUGCUCCCA